GACGAACGCUGGCGGCGUGCCUAACACAUGCAAGUCGAACGGAGCAGAUCCCUUCGGGGGUUUGCUUAGUGGCGAACGGGUGAGUAACGCGUGAGGAACCUGCCUUACAGAGGGGGACAACAGUUGGAAACGACUGCUAAUACCGCAUAACAUUUGAGGGUGGCAUCACUCUUGAAUCAAAGGAGCAAUCCGCUGUAAGAUGGCUUCGCGUCCGAUUAGACAGUUGGCGGGGUAACGGCCCACCAAAUCUACGAUCGGUAGCCGGACUGAGAGGUUGAACGGCCACAUUGGGACUGAGACACGGCCCAG
This 309-nucleotide ribosomal RNA is filed under the name uncultured bacterium. Its description in RNAcentral is "bacterial SSU rRNA". It matches the Rfam family "Bacterial small subunit ribosomal RNA", at positions 28 to 334 of the family's 1533-position model. The record is from RNAcentral.